This 1413-nucleotide ribosomal RNA is filed under the name Lactobacillus sp. RNAcentral's name for it is "bacterial SSU rRNA". It matches the Rfam family "Bacterial small subunit ribosomal RNA". Lineage: Bacteria; Bacillati; Bacillota; Bacilli; Lactobacillales; Lactobacillaceae. The record is from RNAcentral.
GUCGAACGAACUCUGGUAUUGAUUGGUGCUUGCAUCAUGAUUUACAUUUGAGAGAGUGGCGAACUGGUGAGUAACACGUGGGAAACCUGCCCAGAAGCGGGGGAUAACACCUGGAAACAGAUGCUAAUACCGCAUAACAACUUGGACCGCAUGGUCCGAGUUUGAAAGAUGGCUUCGGCUAUCACUUUUGGAUGGUCCCGCGGCGUAUUAGCUAGAUGGUGGGGUAACGGCUCACCAUGGCAAUGAUACGUAGCCGACCUGAGAGGGUAAUCGGCCACAUUGGGACUGAGACACGGCCCAAACUCCUACGGGAGGCAGCAGUAGGGAAUCUUCCACAAUGGACGAAAGUCUGAUGGAGCAACGCCGCGUGAGUGAAGAAGGGUUUCGGCUCGUAAAACUCUGUUGUUAAAGAAGAACAUAUCUGAGAGUAACUGUUCAGGUAUUGACGGUAUUUAACCAGAAAGCCACGGCUAACUACGUGCCAGCAGCCGCGGUAAUACGUAGGUGGCAAGCGUUGUCCGGAUUUAUUGGGCGUAAAGCGAGCGCAGGCGGUUUUUUAAGUCUGAUGUGAAAGCCUUCGGCUCAACCGAAGAAGUGCAUCGGAAACUGGGAAACUUGAGUGCAGAAGAGGACAGUGGAACUCCAUGUGUAGCGGUGAAAUGCGUAGAUAUAUGGAAGAACACCAGUGGCGAAGGCGGCUGUCUGGUCUGUAACUGACGCUGAGGCUCGAAAGUAUGGGUAGCAAACAGGAUUAGAUACCCUGGUAGUCCAUACCGUAAACGAUGAAUGCUAAGUGUUGGAGGGUUUCCGCCCUUCAGUGCUGCAGCUAACGCAUUAAGCAUUCCGCCUGGGGAGUACGGCCGCAAGGCUGAAACUCAAAGGAAUUGACGGGGGCCCGCACAAGCGGUGGAGCAUGUGGUUUAAUUCGAAGCUACGCGAAGAACCUUACCAGGUCUUGACAUACUAUGCAAAUCUAAGAGAUUAGACGUUCCCUUCGGGGACAUGGAUACAGGUGGUGCAUGGUUGUCGUCAGCUCGUGUCGUGAGAUGUUGGGUUAAGUCCCGCAACGAGCGCAACCCUUAUUAUCAGUUGCCAGCAUUAAGUUGGGCACUCUGGUGAGACUGCCGGUGACAAACCGGAGGAAGGUGGGGAUGACGUCAAAUCAUCAUGCCCCUUAUGACCUGGGCUACACACGUGCUACAAUGGAUGGUACAACGAGUUGCGAACUCGCGAGAGUAAGCUAAUCUCUUAAAGCCAUUCUCAGUUCGGAUUGUAGGCUGCAACUCGCCUACAUGAAGUCGGAAUCGCUAGUAAUCGCGGAUCAGCAUGCCGCGGUGAAUACGUUCCCGGGCCUUGUACACACCGCCCGUCACACCAUGAGAGUUUGUAACACCCAAAGUCGGUGGGGUAACC